RNAcentral lists this microRNA (24 nucleotides) under Caenorhabditis elegans. The record is from RNAcentral. Lineage: Eukaryota; Metazoa; Nematoda; Chromadorea; Rhabditida; Rhabditidae.
GGGGACAGAGAGCUCAGUCGGUAG